This 329-nucleotide ribosomal RNA is filed under the name uncultured eukaryote. RNAcentral describes it as "partial 18S ribosomal RNA". It matches the Rfam family "Eukaryotic small subunit ribosomal RNA", at positions 1470 to 1796 of the family's 1831-position model. The record is from RNAcentral.
CCCUUAGAUGUUCUGGGCUGCACGCGCGCUACACUGAAGCGUUCAACGAGUAUUCACCUUGCCCGGGAGGGUUGGGUAAUCUUUUGAAAACGCUUCGUGAUGGGGAUAGAUUAUUGCAAUUAUUAAUCUUCAACGAGGAAUUCCUAGUAAGCGCGAGUCAUCAGCUCGUGCUGAUUACGUCCCUGCCCUUUGUACACACCGCCCGUCGCUCCUACCGAUUGAGCAUUAGGGUGAAAUCUUCGGACCGUGGCAUACUUCUGGCCUAGCCAGUCUUUGUCCGUGGGAGGUCGCUUAAAUCCUGAUGCUUAGAGGAAGUAAAAGUCGUAACA